UGGGGAAUAUUGCACAAUGGGCGAAAGCCUGAUGCAGCGACGCCGCGUGAGGGAUGACGGCCUUCGGGUUGUAAACCUCUUUCAGCAGGGACGAAGCGCAAGUGACGGUACCCGCAGAAGAAGCACCGGCUAACUACGUGCCAGCAGCCGCGGUAAUACGUAGGGUGCAAGCGUUGUACGGAAUUACUGGGCGUAAAGAGUUCGUAGGCGGUUUGUCGCGUCGUUUGUGAAAACCAGCAGCUCAACUGCUGGCUUGCAGGCGAUACGGGCAGACUUGAGUACUGCAGGAGAGACUGGAAUUCCUUGUGUAGCGGUGAAAUGCGCAGAUAUCAGGAGGAACACCGGUGGCGAAGGCGGGUCUCUGGGCAGUAACUGACGCUGAGGAACGAAAGCGUGGGUAGCGAACAGG
Molecule: ribosomal RNA, 409 nt
Filed under: bacterium
Lineage: Bacteria
Description: partial 16S ribosomal RNA
Rfam family: Bacterial small subunit ribosomal RNA
Source: RNAcentral